GGGGCAACCUGGCGACGAGUGGCGAACGGGUGAGUAAUGCAUCGGAACAUGCCCAGUAGUGGGGGAUAGCCCGGCGAAAGCCGGAUUAAUACCGCAUACGACCUAAGGGUGAAAGCGGGGGAUCGCAAGACCUCGCGCUAUUGGAGUGGCCGAUGUCAGAUUAGGUAGUUGGUGGGGUAAAGGCCUACCAAGCCGACGAUCUGUAGCUGGUCUGAGAGGACGACCAGCCACACUGGGACUGAGACACGGCCCAGACUCCUACGGGAGGCAGCAGUGGGGAAUUUUGGACAAUGGGCGCAAGCCUGAUCCAGCCAUGCCGCGUGCGGGAAGAAGGCCUUCGGGUUGUAAACCGCUUUUGUUCGGGAAGAAAUCCCUUGGGUUAAUACCUCGGGGGGAUGACGGUACCGGAAGAAUAAGCACCGGCUAACUACGUGCCAGCAGCCGCGGUAAUACGUAGGGUGCAAGCGUUA
This 470-nucleotide ribosomal RNA is filed under the name uncultured bacterium. RNAcentral's name for it is "bacterial SSU rRNA". It matches the Rfam family "Bacterial small subunit ribosomal RNA", at positions 76 to 543 of the family's 1533-position model. The record is from RNAcentral.